AUCUCAGACCUCUAACUUCAAGGAACUGAAAUCUGCCAGUUAUCAGGAAUCUUGGUAGAGGAACUGGAGCCUCCAGUAAGAUCACUGCUCUGGUCAACACCUUCAGUUCAGUCCUAUGAGACCCUCAGCAGAGAACCCAGCCAUGCUGCACCUGAAUUUCUAUCCUGUGGCACUGUGAGACUGUUCCCAUGAUAGCAGGCCCUGUUGAGACUGAUUGGAAGGAGACUAAGUCUUGUAUUGAUGGACUUGAUGAACAGUAUAGAUAUUGCAUGACCCGCUGAAAAACGAGCUUUCUCCAAAUGAGUGUCUCCAGGGAGAAAGAGAAACGUUAU
Odocoileus virginianus texanus is the source of this 332-nucleotide non-coding RNA. Lineage: Eukaryota; Metazoa; Chordata; Mammalia; Artiodactyla; Cervidae. The record is from RefSeq and is a predicted model, not a curated record.